Molecule: ribosomal RNA, 1229 nt
Filed under: Fusarium solani
Lineage: Eukaryota; Fungi; Ascomycota; Sordariomycetes; Hypocreales; Nectriaceae
Description: eukaryotic LSU rRNA
Rfam family: Eukaryotic large subunit ribosomal RNA (bases 588-1229)
Source: RNAcentral
GGAAGUAAAAGUCGUAACAAGGUCUCCGUUGGUGAACCAGCGGAGGGAUCAUUACCGAGUUUACAACUCCCAAACCCAAUGUGAACGUUACCAAACUGUUGCCUCGGCGGGAUCUCUGCCCCGGGUGCGUCGCAGCCCCGGACCAAGGCGCCCGCCGGAGGACCAACCUGAAACUCUUAUUGUAUACCCCCUCGCGGGUUUUUUUUAUAAUCUGAGCCUUCUCGGCGCCUCUCGUAGGCGUUUCGAAAAUGAAUCAAAACUUUCAACAACGGAUCUCUUGGUUCUGGCAUCGAUGAAGAACGCAGCGAAAUGCGAUAAGUAAUGUGAAUUGCAGAAUUCAGUGAAUCAUCGAAUCUUUGAACGCACAUUGCGCCCGCCAGUAUUCUGGCGGGCAUGCCUGUCCGAGCGUCAUUUCAACCCUCGAACCCCUCCGGGGGGUCGGCGUUGGGGAUCGGCCCUCCCUUAGCGGGUGGCCGUCUCCGAAAUACAGUGGCGGUCUCGCCGCAGCCUCUCCUGCGCAGUAGUUUGCACACUCGCAUCGGGAGCGCGGCGCGUCCACAGCCGUUAAACACCCAACUUCUGAAAUGUGACCUCGGAUCAGGUAGGAAUACCCGCUGAACUAAGCAUAUCAAUAAGCGGAGGAAAAGAAACCAACAGGGAUUGCCCCAGUAACGGCGAGUGAAGCGGCAACAGCUCAAAUUUGAAAUCUGGUCCCUAGGGCCCGAGUUGUAAUUUGUAGAGGAUGCUUUUGGUGAGGUGCCGCCCGAGUUCCCUGGAACGGGACGCCACAGAGGGUGAGAGCCCCGUCUGGCUGGCCGCCGAGCCUCUGUAAAGCUCCUUCGACGAGUCGAGUAGUUUGGGAAUGCUGCUCAAAAUGGGAGGUAUAUGUCUUCUAAAGCUAAAUAUUGGCCAGAGACCGAUAGCGCACAAGUAGAGUGAUCGAAAGAUGAAAAGCACCUUGAAAAGAGGGUUAAAUAGUACGUGAAAUUGUUGAAAGGGAAGCGCUUGUGACCAGACUUGGGCGCGGCGGAUCAUCCGGGGUUCUCUCCGGUGCACUUCGCCGCGUCUAGGCCAGCAUCAGUUCGUCGCGGGGGAAAAAGGCUUCGGGAACGUGGCUCCUCCGGGAGUGUUAUAGCCCGUUGCAUAAUACCCUGCGGUGGACUGAGGACCGCGCAUCUGCAAGGAUGCUGGCGUAAUGGUCACCAGCGACCCGUCUUGAAACACGGACC